GACAGAGGUGCCAAGCGUUAGGCGGAAUCACUGGGCUUAAAGCGUGUGUAGGUGGAUGCCUAAGUACCUUGUGAAAUCCCACGGCUCAACCGUGGAACUGCUCGGUAUACUGGGUGUCUUGAGCCACUUAGGGGCUACCGGAACAAAUGGUGGAGCGGUGAAAUGCGUAGAUAUCAUUUGGAACGCCAAUGGUGAAAACAGGUAGCUGGGAGUGUGCUGACACUGAGACACGAAAGCCAGGGGAGCGAACGGG
This 253-nucleotide ribosomal RNA is filed under the name uncultured bacterium. RNAcentral's name for it is "partial 16S ribosomal RNA". It matches the Rfam family "Bacterial small subunit ribosomal RNA", at positions 524 to 776 of the family's 1533-position model. The record is from RNAcentral.